UACGUAGGGGGCAAGCGUUGUCCGGAAUUAUUGGGCGUAAAGAGCGUGUAGGCGGUCCGGUAAGUCAGCUGUGAAAGUCAAGGGCUCAACCCUUGAAAGCCGGUUGAUACUGUCGGGCUAGAGUCCGGAAGAGGCGAGUGGAAUUCCAGGUGUAGCGGUGAAAUGCGUAGAUAUCUGGAGGAACACCGGUGGCGAAGGCGGCAUCCUGGACCGACACUGACGCUGAGGAGCGAAAGCCAGGGGAGCAAACGGG
This 253-nucleotide ribosomal RNA is filed under the name uncultured bacterium. RNAcentral's name for it is "partial 16S ribosomal RNA". It matches the Rfam family "Bacterial small subunit ribosomal RNA", at positions 524 to 776 of the family's 1533-position model. The record is from RNAcentral.